Molecule: small nucleolar RNA, 74 nt
Organism: Nannospalax galili (Upper Galilee mountains blind mole rat)
Lineage: Eukaryota; Metazoa; Chordata; Mammalia; Rodentia; Spalacidae
Source: RefSeq, a predicted model, not a curated record
GGGCAUUGAAAUUGGCUAAGGGAAAUGGCUGAUUACAAAGUAUUACUCUAUUCACUUACUCCUAGCCUACAGGA